GCGGCGCGAGCAGAGAGGCGCUGCCGUGUCCAAAGCAGCAUCUCUGGACGCGCUCGUUC
RNAcentral lists this microRNA precursor (59 nucleotides) under Gallus gallus (chicken). Its description in RNAcentral is "Gga-Mir-1560_pre stem-loop". The record is from RNAcentral. Lineage: Eukaryota; Metazoa; Chordata; Aves; Galliformes; Phasianidae.